Molecule: ribosomal RNA, 492 nt
Filed under: uncultured bacterium
Lineage: Bacteria
Description: bacterial SSU rRNA
Rfam family: Bacterial small subunit ribosomal RNA
Source: RNAcentral
AACGAACGCUGGCGGCGCGUUUUAAGCAUGCAAGUCGGACGGCAGCGUGUAGCGAUACACGUGAGAGUGGCGAACGGGUGAGUAACACGUGGGUGACCUAGCUUAGGUGAUGGGGAUAGCCUGUGGAAACACAGGGUAAUACCGAAUACGCCUUUACAGGUGGAGCUGUGGAGGGAAAGGCGCUUUAGGCGCUGCACUAAGGGGGGCCUGCGGGCCAUUAGGUUAGUUGGUGGGGUAAAGGCCUACCAAGGCGACGAUGGAUAGCCGGCCUGAGAGGGUGUACGGCCACACUGGGACUGAGAGACGGCCCAGACUCCUACGGGAGGCAGCAGCUAAGAAUCUUCCGCAAUGGGGGCAACCCUGACGGAGCGACGCCGCGUGAACGAGGAAGGCCGAAAGGUUGUAAAGUUCUUUUCUUGGGGAAGAAUAAAGGGAAGAGGGAAUGCUUCUCUGAUGACGGUAACCGAGGAAAAAGCCCCGGCCAAUUACGUG